UACGUAGGUGGCGAGCGUUGUCCGGAUUUAUUGGGCGUAAAGAGCUCGUAGGCGGUUCGGUAAGUCGGAUGUGAAAUCUCCACGCUCAACGUGGAGGGGCCAUUCGAUACUGCCGUGACUCGAGUCCGGUAGGGGAGUGUGGAAUUCCCGGUGUAGCGGUGAAUGCGCAGAGAUCGGGAGGAACACCCGUAGCGAAGGCGGCACUCUGGGCCGGUACUGACGCUGAGGAGCGAAAGCGUGGGGAGCGAACAGG
This 253-nucleotide ribosomal RNA is filed under the name uncultured bacterium. Its description in RNAcentral is "partial 16S ribosomal RNA". It matches the Rfam family "Bacterial small subunit ribosomal RNA", at positions 524 to 776 of the family's 1533-position model. The record is from RNAcentral.